AUCAUUACUCUGCCUUUCAGCUAAGAUCAAGUUUAGUAUCUGUUCUUACUAGUUUAAAAUGCUAUGCUCUAUACCUUAGACCACAUAUAGCAUAGCUAUCUAGAGCUUUA
RNAcentral lists this small nuclear RNA (110 nucleotides) under Otolemur garnettii (small-eared galago). RNAcentral's name for it is "U2 spliceosomal RNA". It matches the Rfam family "U2 spliceosomal RNA". Rfam says of the family: U2 is a small nuclear RNA (snRNA) component of the spliceosome (involved in pre-mRNA splicing). Complementary binding between U2 snRNA (in an area lying towards the 5' end but 3' to hairpin I) and the branchpoint sequence (BPS) of the intron results the bulging out of an unpaired adenosine, on the BPS, which initiates a nucleophilic attack at the intronic 5' splice site, thus starting the first of two transesterification reactions that mediate splicing. Lineage: Eukaryota; Metazoa; Chordata; Mammalia; Primates; Galagidae. The record is from Rfam by way of RNAcentral.